AGAUAGGAGGAUGCGGCCUUGUGGGUGGUAGCUGGUAUGUUGGUGGAAACUCCAUGCUUCCAUGGAACCAGCUGUAGAGGAGUGGUGAUGCAAUGAGCAUCCUGGAAGUUUAGUUGUCAUUUGUCACUUUUUGGAUAAUGGAGUAGAUUUCUGAAGCUAUUUCUCCUUGUUUGGUGUUCUGCCUGCAAUUUGGACAAGUGGACUUCAGAUUAUGUCUUCGUAGACUGAAAGGCUUGGGACUACUUUGGUUUUCUGGGGGUCCACUUCAGACCCUAGUUGCCUUGGUUUUUCCCAUACCUGGAGAUGUCACCAGUGAAGCCUGGGAAACAGCAAAGAAGGCAGCCUGAUCGUUCAUCUGGAAACUUUGUUCCAGCAUAAGAAGCCUCUCACGCUAAACAUCACAGCUGGGAAUAUGCUGGACCACAACUAAAGCCAGCAUGGCACUGACUCUGACCAAAGGAUUAGCUUCCAGGGGUCCUAGCAAGGUGCAUCACAGUGUCAAGAAUGCACUGCAUUCAGAGAAGUUCAAACUAUGGAUUCCCACCAGAGAAGCAUGAAGUGCUCUGAAGGCUGCCAACAAAAUGUCAAGUGAGUCCACUGACAAAAAGGAAGAGAAACCUUGGAAAAACAUUAUUGCUUAUGUUCCAUCUGAAUCUGAGCAGCUGACCUGAGGAAGGAGGUGGCUCAUCCAAGCUGAGACAUGGUGUUUCAAGAGGUGAAACCACAGGGAAAGUUUGAAAUGAAAGUCAUAUGGGAAGAAAUGGAGAGAAGCAAGUUGGAGAUCUUUCUAGAUCACCAUCCCGUAUUGGUACCCAUGCCUCAGUUUAUUUCUGCUGGAGAAGGUGAUGCUAGAAGCUCAGGUUCUCUGUCCUCUCCAUGAUCCUGUGAGCUGUCUAAUAUCCCUCCAUAAAAGCCUGCUGUCUUAAACUA
Pan troglodytes (chimpanzee) is the source of this 930-nucleotide long non-coding RNA. RefSeq lists it as uncharacterized. The record is from RefSeq and is a predicted model, not a curated record. The transcript has 6 exons. NCBI's taxonomy places the organism in Eukaryota, Metazoa, Chordata, Mammalia, Primates, Hominidae.